Molecule: long non-coding RNA, 1847 nt
Organism: Malania oleifera
Lineage: Eukaryota; Viridiplantae; Streptophyta; Magnoliopsida; Santalales; Ximeniaceae
Exons: 2
Source: RefSeq, a predicted model, not a curated record
GUGGGGGAGUUGGAAGCUCUCAUCACUGUCUAGGAGGACGCUCCCCAAGGCUGAUUCCACGUUCACUGAUUUUUUAUUACGCAGUCUAUGGGACGCAAAUCCUACAAGUAUGUGGUGAACCUCACAAAGAUUCCAAUCCUGAAAAAGAAUAUUGAUAUUGCUGGAUUUCAUCGAGGGUAAGGGAGAAAAUCGAUCCACCUGGAUCAAGAAGAAGCCGAAGCAUGUAUUUGCAGAGGUAGUUUGAGAGGUCCAAAGGAAUUCGAGCAGAAGGAAGGUUUCCUUGGAUCUAGGUUUGAAGAAGAUCCAGAUCGGAAAGGUGAGGGAUUUUUGUGAAUUGAUUACUGAAGGGGCAGAUGGGGAUGGUGAUUUCAUCUCAUUUGUUACUUUGGAAAAUUUGCAAAAGGGAGCUACGGCUUGCAGUAGCAGUAGCAGUUCUGUUCGAACUGAGGAGCUGGUAGUUUGGCAAGAUUUCGAAUUCCGUUUUGCUAUGGGGUUGAAUGAAAAUCCCUCUGUAGCUUUGUUCAGUGUCUCGGCGAAAACUUGGAUAUGUAAGGAUUACAGUUCCGAUGGUGGGGAUGAUCAGAAUUUGAUGCCGGGAUGGUUGUUCAACUCCACAUGAUGAUUCUGGGUUGGAUGUUUUCCCUCUGGAAGUAGAUCAGAAUUUGAUUAAGGAAUUUUUUUUUUUUUUUGGAUUAUUCUACGCGUUCGUUUUACGAUUUACGUGACUAAUCCUACACCCUUGAAGUUGAUUUCACAACUCCAAAGGAAGUGUAAAUUCAAGAAUCCAGUGACGAAAAUGAGCCCGAAAGGAUAUAAACACCUUACCUCGUAUGAAAGGCGCUUUUGGAGCCCGCAUUACAGCCUGAACCACACCCUGAGCGCUGGAUCAGACAAUCUCGGCGUAGGAAUCACCACAAGAGGAGUCUUCUUCUUCAAGACAAUGCCAAACUUCUCCGAAAGGUCCAACGUCUCCCCUUCAGGAAUUUUCCAGUCAAAGGAAUGCAGAAGCGAAGCAAGGGAAAACAUCACCAUCCGCUCAGCCAUUGCUAUCCCUGCACAAAUCCUUCGCCCAGACCCAAACGGGAUGUAACUGAAGCCGCCGCCAUCGUCAUCCCAUUUGCCACCAAAGAACCUCUCCGGGUUAAACUCCGACGGGUUUUCCCAAAUGCAAGAGUCUCUGUGUAUUGCCCAGGCGUUGACGAAGACUCGGGCGCCCUUGGGAAUGUGGUAUCCCCCGACGGUGCAUGACUGGCUUGGACAGUGAGGAACCAGCAGCGGAAGCACCGGGUGCAACCGCAGAAUCUCUUUCAUCACGGCCUGCAAAUACGGUAGCUUGUGAAUGUGGCAUUCGUCUACUGUGCUGUCUUUGCCCACGACUGCGUCCAAUUCUUCUUGUGCGUUUCGCAUCAAUUCUGGUUUGUUGAUUAGUUCCGCCAUGGCAAACUCCACUGUGCUGGAGCUUGUGUCAGUGCUACCCACCACCAUAUCCUUUCCACGUACGUUCAGACGUUCAAUGACACGUGUACAGCAUUAUGGAAAAUUUACCAUUCUUCAAUUCAUUGAACAUAGUAGGAAGAACUUUAAGAAAAAGUUAAUAAUUAUUGGAUUGACAUCAUCCUCAUCCUAAUUAAAAUAUAGUGUAGAUAAGAUCAAAUUUUAAGUUAAAUUUGUCUAACAAGUGAAUAGGCUUUCAAUGAUUUUAUUUGUAUUUAUUUAGUUUUACUUUUUUAAAGUCUAAUGUAAAGACAAGAGAAUAGUUGAAGCAGGUGGGUGCACUCUAUUUCCUAUAUAUAUACUUUUCUCCUGCCAUGUGUGCCAAUGAUGAUUACAACCUAUGCAUUAUAACC